This is a non-coding RNA of Vigna umbellata (rice bean), 989 nucleotides long. Lineage: Eukaryota; Viridiplantae; Streptophyta; Magnoliopsida; Fabales; Fabaceae. The record is from RefSeq and is a predicted model, not a curated record.
UGAAAUACGAGAAAGAAUGCCUAAAGGAUUGAUUCAUAUCCUAACUAAUUCAUGUAUGUUGUAAGGGCUCCAAUGUCAAAGAUACAAAGAGAAAACCUGAAAACGCUACACCCAGGUGACAAAUAAGUUAAAAUAUUCGAACAAAAUAGAAAGAGGAAUUUCGUUAUCUAAGGCCGAAGAUGAUAUACUAUUAAUGAGAUAACUUAACCCACAAAACUUUGAGAAACCUCACCAUGGAUUAAAAGUGUGAAUUGUAAGCAGAUUAUCUCCGUGCAUAGUCAUUUUGUUUCUGUUGGAUUUUCUUGUAUCCCUCUGAUCAGGUAUAAACAUCAAUACCAGUUUAGUUAUUUCCUAAAUUUGAUACCUUGCUUCCUAUAAAUUUGUCAGUUUAAUUUACUACUGAUUUUCUUUUCAUUUUCUCUUUUCAAUUAAGUUUAUGGCUGGGUGAAAUAAAAUUUUAAUCUUAUUUUGGCCUACUUUGAAAUCAAUUCCCUAUUUUUCUUAGGGGGCAAAACUGAACAACGCCAACUUGAAGGGUGCAAACCUUCAACGAGCUUAUCUUAGUCAUCUUAAUCUUCGAUAUACGCACUUGGAAGGUGCGAGGCUUGAUGGUGCCAAUACUGUUGGAGUAAUCAGAUAAUAUUUGUGCCGGAAAUUAAAAAAAUUGGAAUUUGUAAUAUGGCUAUAAAAUGUCAGUACUAGAUGACUGAACUUGGGAAUUUGAAAGUUAUCUCGUGUAUGAGAGCGUAAGUAUAAGUGCUUCUGGUAAAGUGAUAUUUUAGUUGGGUCUGCUGAUCUCCAACAAUAACAUGCGGCUGAUAUUGUGAGAUAAAGUUGUUUAUGUUGUUCUUGUUCAUAUUUUGUGUUGAUUCUGGUUUUUUGGCUUUUCUUAUGUACCAAGAAUAUUACUAAUUUGUUAUGUGAACUAUGUUGUGUACAGCGCAUGGCUGAUAAGAAGUUCGUAUUUAUGAAUCAUGAUUGUCUUGUAU